This is a long non-coding RNA of Lytechinus pictus (painted urchin), 4147 nucleotides long. RefSeq lists it as uncharacterized. The transcript is spliced from 4 exons. The record is from RefSeq and is a predicted model, not a curated record. Lineage: Eukaryota; Metazoa; Echinodermata; Echinoidea; Temnopleuroida; Toxopneustidae.
UUGCAGUUAAUUGAGCUCGAUCGAGAAGUGUGACGAAGAAGGCCGUUAAUAAUAAUUAUUCAACUACUUAAAGAAUACGGGAUAGAUAUGGACAACGACUUCGAAGACAUUUGCAGUAGGCUAAACAGAGAAAGAGAGGGAGACCCAAAACUACCUGUCCUGGCAUCACAUUUGAGGAGGAGAUGAAGUCGGUGAAUAUGACCUAGCCCGGGGGAGUUUCCAGAAGACGGUCCAGAACCACUGGCCGCCAGGAGUGGAGGUCCUUUGUUGUUGCUCUACAUGUCAGGAGGCAUCGGGCAGUACAUGUAGGUAAGACAAUCCCUGGUAGAAGCACCAUCUUGAUACCAUCAUUCAAACUCUCAUCAGCUGUAUCAUUAUAGGUGGACUAAAAGAACAAUAUUCAUUCAGAUAUAAUGAUGCCUUAAGUUGAAAUGGAAGGUGUCCUGAAUCUGCACCCAUUCAUCUGGUUUCGUAACUCCUUUCAUAGUGCUAUUGGAACCUGCUCCCUACCAGUAUAACAUCAAACAGAUUGGAAGAAUAAAGGCCAAUUGGAAGUGCCUUUUACAUUUCUACUUGCCACAAAGCAGUCCAUGGUUUAGCGCAAUCUACACUGGACUAUUGUAAUGCUCUUCGUGCUUGAAUUAGGGCGAUCUGGACUGACUGCAGAUAGUACAGAAUGCUGCAUCUAUUGUGCCAUUUGCCAUACGCCAACUUCGCUGGCUGCAAGUCAAGGAAAGGAUAUACAUGAACAUCAGUGUCCGUCUCCUGAUUUUCAAAGUCAAUGACAGAUUACAUGUAUUCUAAGGAAUCCCUUGUGCGUCAUUUUCAUUCUAGGCGCACUUGCCUUUUUAUUUUUGUGAUCAUUACGCACCUACAAAUUAGCUACUGGUGAUGCAACUUUCUCCACUACUGCUCCAAGGCCAUGGAAUUAGCUCCUUCCUCUCCUCCAGUUGUCAACAACCUCAAGUGGAUCAGUCCAAAUACAAUUUGAGAAGACCUACCAUAUUCCUGAUCUUUGCUCUGUACUUCCAACAAUACUGUCACUGCCUGGUAAUUUGAUUUUUUUUAAAUCUCAUGGAUGGCAUCUCAAAGCGCUUUGUAUCUCGCAAAAUAAUGUGUUGUGUAAAAGCGAACACGCAUUGAGGUCAAGCAUAAGGGUAACCAUGGAUAUUGCCUUUUAUUACUUUUUAACAAAAGUGAAAAAUUCAUCCAAAUUAGACAAGGGAUAAUAAAGUAAUGUAUGACAUUCUAACCUCUGCAUUAUUUUGGUGAAAGAGCUCUAAGCAUAUGCAAGUAGCAAGCUGAUGAUGUCAUACUGACGUACAUUGUACGUGUACACGUAUCCCCAACUUAUUUUUUUGUAUAUAAAAUUGUGCAUUUAAUUUUGUUUACAAAGAAUGAAACAAAUCGGAUUGUAAACUGUAUUGAUGUGACUUACCUGUAUUGAUUAUUGCUGGAAGUUCUUUUGCUACAUGGGUUACACACAUGAAGUAAAUUAUUAUUUUAUCUGGUAACAUGAAAACAAUAAAAAUGUGGGCAUGAUAUCAUAAACUUACAUGUAUCUACUUGCAUGUGUUGAUGACCAAUAUUUUUGUAAAUAUUUUAUUAAUUUUAUCUGAUUUUGAUAAAAUUUUCACUAUUUUGCAUGGUAAAAAUUACUUUAUUUUAGAUUAUGUUGAGCCCGUAUCAUAUACAAGUACACCUUUAAAGAUAAAUUACCAGUUGAAGUAACAAUCUUAAAAUGAGUUCGAACAGAAUCCAAUAGAAUUACCAGCAAAAUAUAAAAGAUAUGUGCCAGAAUUAUAGCUCGGGAAGAAAAUGUGUAAUUGCUGAGAAAUGAGCAAAAUAAGCAUGUAAUUCUAUCAAAUGUCAGGCAUUUUUCAAAUCAAUCAUACAAUGUAAUACACUGUCCUGUCCCACAUAUGCUUUUCUGUGUUAGUGAUCAUCAGAAUAAUUGAUUUUAACUUCAUAAUUAGUGAUUUUACAAAGAUACAAGUUUACAUUAAUGUACCAGCUAGAUCUAGAGAUUAUGUACAAUAUUUUGACAAUUUCUCAUGAAAUAAUUGUUUGCUGCAACUGCUGUCUUUUUAAUACCUCUAAAUGAUAGUGUAAUACAACCACAAACUUUUCUUAAGAAUUAAUGUACAUGUAUGAUUCUUUCACCCAAAUUUACAUGCAUUGAUACUGUAGACUACUUGCCAAAAGUUCCUGCCAAAAGCCUUUUUUUAACGAUGUACAUGCUUUUAUAGACGACCUGCCAAUAUAUUCAAGGACCAACCAAAAAGAGAUGAAUAAAAUGUUUGAAGGAAAUUGAAAUUAACUUUUAAAAUGAUAGCUGUCAAUGCAGUAUUAUUACAGGGUUCCCACAGUCAUGGAAAAUCCUGGAAAAAAUUGGUCAUGGAAAGUCAGGGAUAUGUGAAAAGUCACGGAAUUGCAUUUACCUCUUGGCUAUGACAGCUUUCUAGUUUUUUAUGUCUCGCAACUCUCAUACUCUGUGAUUGCACUCUACUAUUAUAAUUGGUGUUCAUGAUCAUAACAUGUCUGAUUUUGUAAACUGUGCCAGAAAGGAAUUAAGUCAUGGAAAGCAGCAAUUUAGUCAUGGAGAGGUCAUGGAAUUCUGUCUUCAAAUUUCUGUGAGAACCCUGAAUAGGUUUGUGCACUUGACACAGUGUGCACUACAGAUGAACUUUGUAAUGCCAUGAUAUAAACCAGUACAAUAUCUUAAAGGAAAAUAAAACCCAAAAUAUAAUACCACAUGAUACCAUUGAUAAAUACAGGACAAUGAAAAUGAAUCCACUCAUAUACCCCUAAUCCGAUUUCCCAGUAUGGAGUACCACCUUUUCAAAGUUGGCAUCUUCUGGUUCGAAGUCUAUGGAUGGAGAUUAUUCCGUCAGCGACAAACUACAUCUCUAAACGUUUGAGCAUUAUAUAUUCUAUUUCAUUGAUAAUAAAUCAAAUGUAGAGAUAAAACUCAUAAAAUAUUAAUUAAAAUUUGUUUAAUAUUAUAUGAUAGGUUCGAAUUACGACUUGAUGAGUUUUAAUGAUAAAAAUUACACCCUAAUCUACGAUUUACAAAUUGGCAGCGGAAAUUGGGGUGUAAACCUUAUCAUUAAAACUCAUCAAAUUGUAUUUUGAACCUACCAUAUAUUAAACAAAUUUUAACUAAUAUUUUUAUGAGUUUUAUCUGUACAUUUGAUUUGUUAUUGAUAAAAUAGAAUAUAUAAUGCCUAAACGUUUAGAGAUGUAGUUCGUCGCUGAUGUAAUAAUUUUCUAACUAACCCCGCGAAAAUGGCGACCUCCAUCCAGAAACUUCAAACCACACUGUAAGAGGCCAACUUUGAAAAGGUGGUACUCUGUAAUUGGAUUAGGGUAUGAGUGGAUUCAUUUUGAUUGUCCUGUAUUUAUCAAUGGGAUCAUGUGGUAUUAUGUUUUUGGUGUUAUUUUCCUUUAAUUCAGAUAUUACAUGCCAGGGUAUUGUCCUAGUUUUCAUUUUUGGUGCGUAAAUUGAUCAAAUUAUUCGUUCCUUUGAACACUAUUCUAAACUGAGUGGACUCCAAAUACAUAUUAUCAUCUCUCGUCUAUUUCUACUUGCCCUUCGGCCUUGAAGUAAACUUGGGAUAAUUAUGCAUUUUGUUAUACGCAAUUUUGAGUACAGUGCACUUUGACGCAGCUACUUAUAUGAUAUUAACUAUUGUAGACACAUCCUUAUGUUUUGUUCAUUUUCUUAAAAACGAUUAAGAGUUUAAUCAUUUUUGUCUUUAAGCAUAAAACAAAGAGUAAUCAGUCCAUUCUGUAUGUGUAACCUGCAAAAAAAAACUACAAUGGUCGUUAAUUUGGUUUGCUGAAAAGCCUGAUAGCCUUUGAGGUAACUUUUUUAAGUAUUUAGAAGAAAUGUAUUUUUUUUAAGUAUUUAUAUGCACUGUAAUUUCUUUGAUAGUUACUGUUAUGUUACACUGUUUGUACAGUAAAGCAGCUGUUAUACAUUUUUUGUCAAUAGCAAAUGUAAACCAGUAUUGUAAAUUGAUGAAUCUAUGAGCUAAAUACCAGUACUUUCUAUAUCACUUGUAAAAUCAUUUGUUAUUUGUUCAUUGAAGGUGUUGUAUUUUCUUAAUCUUAUAAAAGUCCAUAGGGUCAUGAACACAUUCUA